GCUGAUUCAGGACCCGCAUCGGCGGGAGUACGUAGGGGCAGAGAGUUAACCGGAAUUAGUGGGCAGAAAGGGCAGGUAGGCGCCCAACCAAGGCAGGGGGGAAAACGUACGGCUCAACCGUGAGCCUGCCCUGGAAACGGAGGGGCUGGAGUGCCGGAGAGGUGGGCAGAACUACACGAGUAGAGGUGAAAUUCGUAGAUAUGUGUAGGAAUGCCGAUGAUGAAGAUAGCGCACUGGACGGCAACUGACGCUGAAGUGCGAAAGCUAGGGGAGCAAACAGGAUUAGAUACCCUUGUAGUC
This 300-nucleotide ribosomal RNA is filed under the name uncultured bacterium. RNAcentral's name for it is "bacterial SSU rRNA". It matches the Rfam family "Bacterial small subunit ribosomal RNA", at positions 496 to 795 of the family's 1533-position model. The record is from RNAcentral.